UUGGACAGUUUUGGGAUCUUAUUUACAAUAUUGCCACAAGCUUUUGUUUACCACGACGACACCCACCUGCUUAUCUCCAUGAAAACCUAGGUUCCUAACCGCCUUUGUUCAAAUUAAAAGGAAGAGAUAGAAAACGUGAGGAAUAGAAAGAGAUGGUUACCGAGACAAAGAGUUAGAGAUGAGAAGGAGUUAAAAGGGAGGGGCCGAGGACGGUGGUUCCGUGGCGACGCUACGGCGGCAAACCACCAGGCGUGUGGAUCGGUUAUGUUCCCUAUCUGAAGGUGUGGAAGAAACUGGUGGUGGUGGUUUAUACACCCCAGCGACGGUGACGAGGUUAGACGGUGAAUAGCUCACUGGUCCACUUCAAAACUUGUCAGCUUUUAGCAAUCCUUCCAUUGGAUGUUAUGCAUACAUUAGAAUAACUAAGAGAAAUACAUUGGGUCAAAUGAUUGUCCUUUACUUUUCAUUAACUCCUCCAAAGGUCGAUUAGUUAAUCACAAACUGAAUGUCUGAAUCCAUGGGAUUUGUAUGGUUUAAAUGCUUCACCCGGUCAGCAUCUUGGCUAUUAACAAUGAGGAUAUAGAUGAAAUUUUUUUUUCAUGACUUGCAUGAAGAAGUGAUGACGACUGCUGGCUGCUCAUGGCCAUGGUCUAUUAAUAGGCGUUCAACAACUUAAGUCAGAAAUCCCUUUAAUUGAAAUUUGAAAGGGCAUUUCUAUCCAAAACAUCAUAUUCAGCCUUAAAUGAGUUGAUCAAUGUCAUUUCUUAGUUAGUGGAGCUUUUCUUAAGAUAAGCUAUAUCAUUAAUUUAAUAUAUUUUUAUGUACGAAUAACAUUGAAUUAUUGAAUAUAUAUCCUCACAAAUUUUAUA
This 869-nucleotide long non-coding RNA is filed under the name Helianthus annuus (common sunflower). RNAcentral describes it as "hypothetical non coding rna". Lineage: Eukaryota; Viridiplantae; Streptophyta; Magnoliopsida; Asterales; Asteraceae. The record is from RNAcentral.